This is a non-coding RNA of Paramuricea clavata, 305 nucleotides long. The record is from the annotation of a GenBank genome assembly. NCBI's taxonomy places the organism in Eukaryota, Metazoa, Cnidaria, Anthozoa, Malacalcyonacea, Plexauridae.
AUGAUAAUCACCUCGCCUUCGGCGAAUAUAAUUGUUAAUUAUAAGGCUAAUUAUAAGGCAUUCUAAUUCGAACAAGACUGAUGAUUUAAAAAAGUUUGCUUUUUGGCCGAGAAGGUAAACACGCGCCGUAGUUUUUGCAUCAUGAAAAACAAAUAACCGGGUUUUUCCACCAAUAAAAUGCACGUCCAAUCCUUUACAUAUAUAUUAGCUUUAGAACUUAGAAAGUAAUAUUUAAAUAUAUAUUAGCUUUAGAACUUAGAAAGUAUAGAAACAUAUAAUUAUGGAGGAUAACUUCGUUUUGAAAU